Long non-coding RNA from Anguilla rostrata (American eel), 270 nucleotides. RefSeq lists it as uncharacterized. Lineage: Eukaryota; Metazoa; Chordata; Actinopteri; Anguilliformes; Anguillidae. The record is from RefSeq and is a predicted model, not a curated record. The transcript has 2 exons.
UCAUGAAAUGGGUUUCCAUGGCCGAGCAGCCAUACACAAGUGUUAAGAUCACCACAUGCAAUGCCAAGCAUCGGGUGAAGUGGUGUAAAGCACACCACCAUUGAACUCUGGAGCAGUGGAAAUGCUUUUCUUAAUGCUACACCACACAAUGACAUUCUAUACAACUGUGUGCUUCCAACUUCGUGGCAACAGUUUGGGGAAAGCCAUUACCCAUUUCAGCAAGACAAUGCCCCCCAUGCACAAACCAAGGUCCAUAAAUGGUAAAUGGAC